RNAcentral lists this ribosomal RNA (1917 nucleotides) under Triticum aestivum (bread wheat). RNAcentral's name for it is "partial small subunit ribosomal RNA". Lineage: Eukaryota; Viridiplantae; Streptophyta; Magnoliopsida; Poales; Poaceae. The record is from RNAcentral.
AUGGUCGCUGCCGUGUCGCCUCCGGGCGCGGCGGGGGCGGCGACGAUCAUCGCCUCGUUCCACGGCACCCACUGCGCGUCCCCGUCCCGCGCCGCCGCGCCCAGGCCGCGGUACCACGGCAGCGCGUGCUGCUUCGCGGCCAAGCCCACGCCGGCGGCCGCGGUGGCGUCCGAGCCGGGCCAGGACCAGGACGUGGACGACGAGGGGGGCGUCCUCGGCGCCGCCAACGGCGCGGACGCGACGCUGUCGACGCGGAAGAAGCGCCGGGCCCGGAAGGGCAAGAGGUCGGCCGCCGCGCAGCAGCAGGAGGCGGAGGAGGAGGAGGCCAGGAGGAAGGCCGAGGAGGAGGCGGCGGCCGCCAAGAAGAAGAAGGCGGAGGAGGAGAGCCGGGCGGCCUCGCUGGACCUGGACGAGGUCAUGGCCGUGAGCCCCGUGGGGCUGGGCCGGCGCUCGCGGCAGCUGUUCGACGAGGUGUGGCGCAAGUUCUCGCGCCUGGGCCAGAUGUCCAGCGCCUCCGCCACCGAGGCGCUCGCCGAGGCGGAGCAGGCCGUGCUCAGCCGCGGCGGGCCCAUGUGCGAGUUCACCGUCCCCGGCGCCCAGGACACCACCGUCCUCGUCGUCGGCGCCACCAGCCGCAUCGGCCGCAUCGUCGUCCGCAAGCUCAUGCUCCGAGGCUACAAUGUCAAGGCUCUAGUUAGAAGGGACGACCCCGAGGUGAUCGACAUGCUUCCCAGGUCGGUGGACAUCGCUGUUGGCGAUGUUGGUGAUCCUUUGGCUGUGCAAUCGGCCGUGUCAGGUUGCAGCAAGAUUAUCUAUUGCGCAACCGCGCGCUCAACCAUUACCGGGGACCUCAACAGAGUUGAUAACCAAGGGGUCAGGAAUGUCAGCAAGGCUUUCCAGGAUUACUACAAUGAGAUGGCUCAGCUCAGGGCUGGUAAAAGCAGCAAGAGCAAACUUUUGAUAGCAAAAUUUAAAUCUGCUAAGUCUCUGAAGGGUUGGGAGGUGAACCAGGGAUCUUACUUCCCGAAUGCCUAUGCUUCUGGUUCUAGUUUUGAUGAAGGUAUCGAUGCGUCCUUUGAAUUCUCAGAAGGUGGCCAGGCCGUUUUUGCAGGAUUUGUUUUUACAAGAGGUGGAUAUGUCGAGAUAUCAAAGAGGCUAUCUCUCCCUUUAGGUUCCACCCUAGACAGGUAUGAUGGCUUGCUUCUUUCAGUGGGUGGAAAUGGAAGAUCAUAUGUUGUUAUUCUUGAGACUGGUCCACUGGCUGACACCUCACAGAGUAAGAAGUAUUUUGCUCGGAUGACUACAAAAGUAGGCUUUUGUAGGGUAAGAGUACCUUUCUCGGCUUUCCGUCCAGUAAAACCAGAAGAUCCUCCCCUAGACCCUUUUCUUGUGCAUACCUUCACCAUUAGGUUUGAACCAAAAAGGCAGAGACCUGGUGAUGGAACCCAAGGUGCCACUGACCCCAGAAAUUUUGAGCUGAUACUGGAGUACAUCAAAGCUUUACCUACCGGUCAAGAAACAGACUUCAUACUGGUCUCAUGCACAGGUUCCGGAAUUGAACCUAACAGAAGAGAACAAGUUCUCAAAGCAAAGAAGGCUGGAGAGGAUGCGCUGAGAAGGUCAGGCCUUGGAUACACAAUUGUACGGCCUGGUCCACUGCAGGAAGAACCUGGCGGUCAGCGUGCACUGAUCUUUGAUCAAGGAAACAGAAUCUCUCAGGCUAUCAGCUGUGCGGAUGUAGCAGAUAUCUGUGUCAAAGCAUUGCAUGAUUCCACGGCGAGAAACAAAAGUUUUGAUGUAUGCUACGAGUAUGUUUCUGAGCAAGGGAAUGAACUGUAUGAACUUGUGGCUCAUUUGCCAGAUAAGGCUAACAACUAUCUUACACCGGCACUAUCAGUUCUAGAGAAAAACACCUAA